RNAcentral lists this ribosomal RNA (993 nucleotides) under Triticum aestivum (bread wheat). Its description in RNAcentral is "partial small subunit ribosomal RNA". The record is from RNAcentral. Lineage: Eukaryota; Viridiplantae; Streptophyta; Magnoliopsida; Poales; Poaceae.
AUGGCUCCGCUCCUGCGGCUGCUGGCCGGCGUGGCCGCGCUGCUACUCGCCGCGGGCGUGUCCCCGGCGUCGGCCUCGAGCUCCGCCGUGGACCUCGGCGUGAACUGGGGAUCGCAGUGCACGCACCAGCUGGACCCCUCCGAGGUGGUGAGGAUGCUCAAGGCCAACGGGAUCAUGAAGGUGAAGCUGUUCGACGCGGACCCCUGGCCCGUCGGCGCGCUGCUCGACUCCGGCAUCGAGGUCAUGCUGGGCAUCCCCAACGACAUGCUGGAGGCGAUGAGCAGCUACGGCAACGCCGAGGACUGGGUGGCGGAGAACGCCACCAGCUACGGGGACAGGCUCAAGCUCCGCUACGUGGCCGUGGGGAACGAGCCCUUCCUCAAGAGCUACAACGGCAGCUUCAUGGAGACCACCGUGCCGGCGCUCAAGAACAUCCAGAAGGCGCUGGACGAGGCCGGGAUCGGCGACACGGUCAAGGCCACCGUCCCGCUCAACGCCGACGUCUACGUCGGCGACAAGCCGUCCGAGGGCAAGUUCCGGCCCGACAUCGACGGCGUCAUGACCAACAUGGUCAAGUUCAUGCACGACCACGGCGCGCCCUUCGUCGUCAACAUCUACCCCUUCCUCAGCCUCUACCAGAGCGACAACUUCCCCUUCGAGUUCGCCUUCUUCGACGGCGGCCGCAGCAUCCAGGACAACGGCGGCGUCAGCUACUCCAACGUGUUCGACGCCAACUACGACACCCUCGUCAGCGCGCUCAAGAAGGCCGGCGUGCCCGGCCUCAAGGUCAUCAUCGGCGAGGUCGGCUGGCCCACCGACGGCAACAAGAACGCCAACCCCAAGCUCGCGCGCCGCUUCUACGACGGCCUCCUCAAGAAGAUGGCCAAGAACGAGGGCACCCACCUCCGGCAGGGCAAGAUGGACGUAUACCUCUUCGGCCUCUUCGACGAGGACAUGAAGAGCAUCGCGCCGGGCAACUUCGAGCGCCACUGA